GGAUUGAGGUGAUACACCCUUGAGGUGGGGACCUUCCACGGACUCUGCGCAUAACGGGCACUUUAGUGCACCGGGUUGCCUUUUUGAUGAUUCACAGAGUUUAGGAUUGAGGUGUAGUUAUUGUUGUGAAACGUAAGUUAUCUCAAACGAUUUAGAAUAUCUCAAAAUUUUGGGAGAUAUAUAGCUUACACUUAAGCAGAGGGUCCUUCGGAAACAGCCUCUAUACCUCCACUAGGUAGGAGUAAAGUCUGCGUAUACUCUACCCUCUCCAGACUUCACUUGUGAGAUUCACUCGGUAUGUCGUUGUUGUUGAUCAAGCUAUUGUGAAGUUAAAAAGUUUUUUAUGGCAUAAUGCUUAUUUUAGAGAGUUGAAGUGUUCGACUAAGCUUUUAUAAGAAAAAGUAAAUGCCUUUGAGUAGUAGCAGAAGUUGUUUUUCUGAAUCUGAAUCUUUGUUUUCGUAGAAGUAAUUUUAUGUCUUUGACCAAACACAAAUUGCUGCUCUAAAAUUAACUGAAGUCUUUUUCAAUCUGAUUAGUCGAGGUGCACGCAAACUGAUCCGAACACCACGGUUAUUAACCCGUGGUGUUCAGAAAUUAACCCGAUGAAGCAAGUUCCGGCAAUGAUGCAUGAAGGAUUUAAGCUUUUCGAGAGUCAUGCGAUUCUUAGAUAUCUGACUUAUGCAUUUCCAAGAGUUGCAGAUCAUUGGUAUCCAACUGCUUUAUACAGAAGAGCCGAAGUCGACUCCGUGUUGGAUUGGCAUCACUCUUAACUUACGCCGCGGUGC
Molecule: RNA transcript, 785 nt
Organism: Capsicum annuum
Lineage: Eukaryota; Viridiplantae; Streptophyta; Magnoliopsida; Solanales; Solanaceae
Exons: 3
Source: RefSeq, a predicted model, not a curated record